GAGGAAUUUUGCGCAAUGGGGGAAACCCUGACGCAGCAACGCCGCGUGAGUGAUGAAGGCUUUCGGGUCAUAAAGCUCUGUCAAGUGGGAAGAACCUGCAGUAUGCUAAUAUCAUAUUGCACUGACGGUACCA
This 133-nucleotide ribosomal RNA is filed under the name uncultured bacterium. RNAcentral's name for it is "partial 16S ribosomal RNA". It matches the Rfam family "Bacterial small subunit ribosomal RNA", at positions 356 to 480 of the family's 1533-position model. The record is from RNAcentral.